Molecule: ribosomal RNA, 252 nt
Filed under: Triticum aestivum (bread wheat)
Lineage: Eukaryota; Viridiplantae; Streptophyta; Magnoliopsida; Poales; Poaceae
Description: partial small subunit ribosomal RNA
Source: RNAcentral
AUGGUAGCAAAAGGUCUAGGUUGGGAUGGUCACACAGUCAAGUAUGUUCUGCAACCCAAAGGCUAUGUUGAGUGGGGCAUCUCUAUAUUGAAUAACCACUCAUUUUGUUUGAAAGGAGAAGCGGAGAACACCGAUUACAUAUAUGGGGCCAUUUACUGCUCCCUCGGUGAAUAUGAAGUUUCAGAUUCGUUACUGAGGUCACUACUGGAAAGAUGGGACCCAGAAACAAAUACUUUUUUUUUCAUCUGGUGA